UAAAUGCCUCUGUACUGUUAGGUGACAUU
This 29-nucleotide non-coding RNA is filed under the name Rattus norvegicus (Norway rat). The record is from RNAcentral. Lineage: Eukaryota; Metazoa; Chordata; Mammalia; Rodentia; Muridae.